UCCGAUUCCUACGGGAGGCAGCAGUGGGGAAUCUUGCACAAUGGGCGAAAGCCUGAUGCAGCGACGCCGCGUGGGGGAUGAAGCUUUUCGGAGUGUAAACCCCUUUCGACCCGGACGAAUGCCUCGCAAGAGGACUGACGGUACGGGUGUAAGAAGCCCCGGCUAACUACGUGCCAGCAGCCGCGGUAAGACGUAGGGGGCCAGCGUUGCUCGGAAUUACUGGGUGUAAAGGGUUCGUAGGCGGUGCGGCAAGUUGGGAGUGAAAUCUCUGGGCUCAACCCAGAGGCUGCUUCCAAAACUGCUGUGCUUGAGUGUGGGAGAGGCGCGUGGAAUUGCAGGUGUAGCGGUGAAAUGCGUAGAUAUCUGCAGGAACACCCGUGGCGAAAGCGGCGCGCUGGACCACAACUGACGCUGAGGAACGAAAGCUAGGGGAGCAAACAGGAUUAGAUACCCUGGUAGUCCUAGCCCUAAACGAUCAGGACUUGGGGUGCUUCACGUUCGUGGAGCGUCCCGGAGCUAACGCGUUAAGUCCUGCACCUGGGGAGUACGGUCGCAAGACUGAAACUCAAAGGAAUUGACGGGGGCCCGCACAAGCGGUGGAACAUGUGGUUCAAUUCGACGCUACGCGAGGAACCUUACCUGGGCUCGAAGCGCACUUGACUAGCUAUAGAAAUAUGGCCUUCCCGCAAGGGACAAGUGUGGAGGCGCUGCAUGGCUGUCGUCAGCUCGUGCCGUGAGGUGUUGGGUUAAGUCCCGCAACGAGCGCAACCCCUGCACGUAGUUGCCACUCCGCAAGGAGGGAACUCUACGUGGACUGCUCCGGAUAACGGAGAGGAAGGUGGGGAUGACGUCAAGUCCGCAUGGCCUUUAUGUCCAGGGCUACACACGUGUUACAAUGCAGGGCACAAACCGUUGCCAACCCGUGAGGGGGAGCUAAUCGGAAAAAACUCUGCUCAGUUCGGAUUGCAGUCUGCAACUCGACUGCAUGAAGCCGGAAUCGCUAGUAAUGGCGUAUCAGAUCGACGCCGUGAAUACGUUCCCGGGCCUUGUACACA
RNAcentral lists this ribosomal RNA (1055 nucleotides) under uncultured Acidobacteriota bacterium. Its description in RNAcentral is "bacterial SSU rRNA". It matches the Rfam family "Bacterial small subunit ribosomal RNA", at positions 331 to 1389 of the family's 1533-position model. Lineage: Bacteria; Pseudomonadati; Acidobacteriota. The record is from RNAcentral.